This 817-nucleotide ribosomal RNA is filed under the name Chaetoceros laciniosus. Its description in RNAcentral is "LSU rRNA". It matches the Rfam family "Eukaryotic large subunit ribosomal RNA", at positions 72 to 911 of the family's 3401-position model. Lineage: Eukaryota; Bacillariophyta; Thalassiosirophyceae; Chaetocerotales; Chaetocerotaceae. The record is from RNAcentral.
UGAUACCCCUAGUAACGGCGAGUGAAGCGGGUCAAGCUCAUCAUGUGAAUCUGUGCUCUGCACCGAAUUGUGAUCUAUAGAAGCAUUGUCGGUCGGCAUUUCGGGUUAAGUCUCUUGGAAAAGAGCAGCUGAGAGGGUGACACUCCCGUUCUUACCUGGAAUGUGCGAUCAUGGCACGUGCCUUCGACGAGUCGAGUUGCUUGGGAUUGCAGCUCAAAGUUGGUGGUAAAUUCCAUCUAAAGCUAAAUAUCGGUGGGAGACCGAUAGCGUACAAGUACCGUGAGGGAAAGAUGCAAAGAACUUUGAAAAGAGAGUUAAAGAGUACCUGAAAUUGCUGAAAGGGAAGCGAAGGAAACCAGUGCUGUUUCGUAUCAUUCUUCUUCUGCUGCUUGCGGCAGGAGCGCUGUGAUGCGGAGUCGGUCAGCAUGGGUUUGAAUCGGGACAAAUAGCUUUACAGGAGGCAGCUCAUUUACUGAGCGAUUACUGUUUAGUGUUGUCUUGGUUUGGAUCGAGGCUAGUCACUUGUGCUCGUGAUGCUGACAAAAUGGUUUUCUUUACCCCGUCUUGAAACACGGACCAAGGAGUCUAACAUAUGUGCGAGUAUAGGAGUGGCAAACUCCAAUGCGCAAUGAAAGUAACAGUGGUAUGACCUUAUGGGGCAAUAUCCGCCGGCCACAAUUCUUCGGAAGAAAGGUCUGAGUGUGAGCAUACAUGUUGGGACCCGAAAGAUGGUGAACUUUGCUUGAAUAGGAUGAAGCCACCGGAAACGGUGGUGGAGGUCCGUAGGGGUUCUGACGUGCAAAUCGAUCUUCAAAUU